This 253-nucleotide ribosomal RNA is filed under the name uncultured bacterium. RNAcentral's name for it is "partial 16S ribosomal RNA". It matches the Rfam family "Bacterial small subunit ribosomal RNA", at positions 524 to 775 of the family's 1533-position model. The record is from RNAcentral.
UACGUAGGGUGCAAGCGUUAAUCGGAAUUACUGGGCGUAAAGCGUGCGCAGGCGGCUUUGCAAGUCCCAUGUGAAAGCCCACGGCUUAACCGUGGAAGUGCAUGGGAAACUGCAGAGCUUGAGUACUUAAGAGGAUCGCGGAAUUCCCGGUGUAGAGGUGAAAUUCGUAGAUAUCGGGAGGAACACCAGUGGCGAAGGCGGCGAUCUGGGAAGUUACUGACGCUGAGGUGCGAAAAGCGUGGGGAGCAACAGG